UACGAAGGGGGCUAGCGUUGCUCGGAAUGACUGGGCGUAAAGGGCGCGUAGGCGGCUCAUACAGUCAGAUGUGAAAUUCCUGGGCUUAACCUGGGGGCUGCAUUUGAUACGUGUGGGCUUGAGUGGGGAAGAGGGUCGUGGAAUUCCCAGUGUAGAGGUGAAAUUCGUAGAUAUUGGGAAGAACACCGGUGGCGAAGGCGGCUAUCUGGCCCGUAAUUGACGCUGAGGCGCGAAAGCGUGGGGAGCAAACAGG
This 253-nucleotide ribosomal RNA is filed under the name uncultured bacterium. RNAcentral describes it as "partial 16S ribosomal RNA". It matches the Rfam family "Bacterial small subunit ribosomal RNA", at positions 524 to 776 of the family's 1533-position model. The record is from RNAcentral.